AGAGUUUGAUUAUGGCUCAGGAUGAACGCUGGCGGCGUGCUUAACACAUGCAAGUCGAACGGGAAUACUUUUAGCUUGCUAAGUUGUAAUUCUAGUGGCGGACGGGUGAGUAACGCGUGGGUAACCUGCCUUAUACCGGGGGACAACAGUUGGAAACGACUGCUAAUACCGCAUAAGCGCACAGUCUCGCAUGAGACAGUGUGAAAAAACUCCGGUGGUAUAAGAUGGACCCGCGUCUGAUUAGCCAGUUGGCGGUGUAACGGACCACCAAAGCGACGAUCAGUAGCCGGCCUGAGAGGGUGAACGGCCACAUUGGGACUGAGACACGGCCCAAACUCCUACGGGAGGCAGCAGUGGGGAAUAUUGCACAAUGGAGGAAACUCUGAUGCAGCGACGCCGCGUGAGUGAAGAAGUAUUUCGGUAUGUAAAGCUCUAUCAGCAGGAAAGAAAAUGACGGUACCUGACUAAGAAGCCCCGGCUAACUACGUGCCAGCCGCGGC
RNAcentral lists this ribosomal RNA (500 nucleotides) under uncultured bacterium. Its description in RNAcentral is "bacterial SSU rRNA". It matches the Rfam family "Bacterial small subunit ribosomal RNA", at positions 8 to 518 of the family's 1533-position model. The record is from RNAcentral.